RNAcentral lists this ribosomal RNA (1900 nucleotides) under hot springs metagenome. RNAcentral's name for it is "bacterial LSU rRNA". It matches the Rfam family "Bacterial large subunit ribosomal RNA", at positions 1 to 1979 of the family's 2925-position model. The record is from RNAcentral.
UUAAGUGAAUAAGUGCAUACGGUGGAUGCCUAGGCGGUAAGAGGCGAUGAAGGACGUAGAAGGCUGCGAUAAGCCUCGGGGAACUGCCAACAAGUUUUGAUCCGAGGAUUUCCGAAUGGGGAAACCCACCAGUUUACUGGUAUCCCGCAAGGGAGGCGAACGAAGCGAACUGAAACAUCUAAGUAGCUUCAGGAAAAGAAAUCAACCGAGAUUCCCUAAGUAGUGGCGAGCGAACGGGGAUUAGCCCAUGAAGUGUAUAAACGGUUAGUAGAAUGAUCUGGAAAGGUCAGCGAUACAGAGUGAUAGCCUCGUAUACGAAAACCCUUAUGCAUGAUAACGAGUAGGGCGGGACACGUGAAAUCCUGUCUGAAUAUGGGGGGACCAUCCUCCAAGGCUAAAUACUCCUUACCGACCGAUAGUGAACAAGUACCGUGAGGGAAAGGCGAAAAGAACCCCGGAAGGGGAGUGAAAUAGAACCUGAAACCGUAUGCAUACAAGCAGUGGGAGCACCUUCGUGGUGUGACUGCGUACCUUUUGUAUAAUGGGUCAGCGAGUUGAUUUUAGUGGCGAGGUUAACCGAAUAGGGGAGCCGUAGGGAAACCGAGUCUUAAUAGGGCGAAUAGUCGCUAGGAUCAGACCCGAAACCACGUGAUCUAUCCAUGGCCAGGAUGAAGGUGUCGUAACAGACACUGGAGGUCCGAACCCACGCCUGUUGAAAAAGUCGGGGAUGAGCUGUGGAUAGGGGUGAAAGGCUAAUCAAACGUGGAGAUAGCUGGUUCUCUUCGAAAGCUAUUUAGGUAGCGCCUCGUAUAUAACUGUCGGGGGUAGAGCACUGUUAUGGUCUCGGGGGGCGUCAAGCUCUACCAGCCCAUUGCAAACUUCGAAUACCGACAAGUUUUAGUACGGGAGACAGACUGCGGGUGCUAACGUCCGUAGUCAAGAGGGAAACAACCCAGACCGCCAGCUAAGGUCCCAAAUUAUUGCUCAGUGGGAAAGGAUGUGGGAAGGCACAGACAGUCAGGAGGUUGGCUUAGAAGCAGCCACCCUUUAAAGAAAGCGUAAUAGCUCACUGAUCGAGUCGGCCUGCGCCGAAGAUUUAACGGGGCUAAGCAAUAAACCGAAGCUGCGGGAUGCACAAUGUGCAUCGGUAGGAGAGCGUUGUGUAAGUCUGUGAAGGUGUUCUGAGAGGAAUGCUGGAGAUAUCACAAGUGCGAAUGCUGACAUAAGUAACGAUAAACAAGGUGAAAACCCUUGUCGCCGAAAGCCCAAGGUUUCCUACGCAACGUCAAUCGGCGUAGGGUUAGUCGGCUCCUAAGGCGAGGCUGAAAAGCGUAGUCGAUGGGAAACAGGUUAAUAUUCCUGUACUUGUGUAUGUUGCGAUGGAGGGACGAAGAAGGCUAGCUAAGCCAGGUGUUGGUUAUCCUGGUUUAAGGUGGUAGGCAGAGAUCUUAGGCAAAUCCGGGAUCUUAUAUGUCGAGAGCUGAUGACGAGCCGUUAGGCGAAGUUAGUGAUGCCAAGCUUCCAAGAAAAGCUUCUAAGCAUAAACAUACAUGAACCGUACCCCAAACCGACACAGGUGGGCAGGAUGAGUAUUCCAAGGCGCUUGAGAGAACUCGGGUUAAGGAACUAGGCAAAUUGACACCGUAACUUCGGGAGAAGGUGUGCCCUGGUAGGGUGAAGUCCCUUGCGGAUGGAGCUUGAAGGGGUUGCAAAAAAUUGGCCGCUGCGACUGUUUAUUAAAAACACAGCACUCUGCAAACUCGAAAGAGGACGUAUAGGGUGUGAUGCCUGCCCGGUGCUGGAAGAUUAAAUGAUGGGGUGAGAGCUCUUGAUUGAAGUCCCAGUAAACGGCGGCCGUAACUAUAACGGUCCUAAGGUAGCGAAAUUCCUUGUCGGGUAA